RNAcentral lists this ribosomal RNA (459 nucleotides) under uncultured bacterium. Its description in RNAcentral is "partial 16S ribosomal RNA". It matches the Rfam family "Bacterial small subunit ribosomal RNA", at positions 339 to 795 of the family's 1533-position model. The record is from RNAcentral.
CUACGGGGUGCUGCAGUGAGGAAUAUUGGUCAAUGGGCGCAAGCCUGAACCAGCCAUGCCGCGUGCAGGAAGAAUGCCCUAUGGGUUGUAAACUGCUUUUAUUUGGGAAUAAACCUUUCUACGUGUAGGAAGCUGAAGGUACCAAAUGAAUAAGCACCGGCUAACUCCGUGCCAGCAGCCGCGGUAAUACGGAGGGUGCAAGCGUUAUCCGGAAUCAUUGGGUUUAAAGGGUCCGCAGGCGGAUUUAUAAGUCAGUGGUGAAAGCCUACAGCUUAACUGUAGAACUGCCAUUGAUACUGUAAGUCUUGAAUUCGGUCGAAGUGGGCGGAAUGUGUAGUGUAGCGGUGAAAUGCAUAGAUAUUACACAGAACACCGAUAGCGAAGGCAGCUCACUAGGCCUGGAUUGACGCUCAGGGACGAAAGCGUGGGGAUCAAACAGGAUUAGAUACCCGCGUAGUC